This is a non-coding RNA of Bos taurus (domestic cattle), 72 nucleotides long. NCBI's taxonomy places the organism in Eukaryota, Metazoa, Chordata, Mammalia, Artiodactyla, Bovidae. The record is from Rfam.
UCCCUGGUGGCUCAGAUGGUAAAGAAUCUGCCUGCAAUGCAGGAGACCUAGGUUCGAUCCCUGGGUUGGGAA